This 200-nucleotide unclassified non-coding RNA is filed under the name soil metagenome. RNAcentral describes it as "partial contains internal transcribed spacer 2 and large subunit ribosomal RNA". The record is from RNAcentral.
CUCACCUUAAAUGGAUUAGCUGGACAUGUCGCAAGACUUGGUUCUACUUGGCGUAAUAAGUAUUUCGCUGAGGACAUCUCCUUGUGGGGUGGCCAUAACUUAGGCAAACGUCUGCUUUCUAACUCUCUAGUUCCCACUUCAGGGACAAGAACUUUUUAUGAUCUGGCCUCAAAUCAGGUAGGACUACCCGCUGAACUUAA